This 528-nucleotide ribosomal RNA is filed under the name Triticum aestivum (bread wheat). RNAcentral's name for it is "partial small subunit ribosomal RNA". Lineage: Eukaryota; Viridiplantae; Streptophyta; Magnoliopsida; Poales; Poaceae. The record is from RNAcentral.
AUGAUUCUUCAGAGAGAUUUCUUGCCAAAAAUAUUAACUCUCUCCAGCAGUGGGCAGGGCACUGUCAAGGUUAUCCUAGACUACUUGGGGACAAUAUCAUCAGUUUCUUGCAUACUGCAAUAUUUAGAAAAAUAUGAUUUCUGCUAUGGUAGUUUCCAGAAUUGUUUGGCCCUUGAGACACUUCCACUGUUCACCUUGACCUUCACUGCCCGUGAUGAGUCAGAAACUGAAGAAGAUGAUCCCUUGGACACAGAAGAUGCUUCCUCUGUCCUCAUCGCUGCACUACAGUCUUUUGGCCAAGCUCUGGUGAAUGACAACGAAGAAAAAGAUAUCGUUAAAGAGGAGAUUGGGCGAGGUUUUGUAUCUUCUCAGGGGUUGCUAUCUUGCCGUGCAUACUCAGCUUCUUUGGGUCCAAGAGGACCCGGAUCCCGGACGGCGCGCUGCUCUGGCCCCACUCCACUCACCAUGCUGGCUACCCAGCUCGGCCCUGCGCAGGUAUUCACCCACCUUUCCACUGUACUGUCGUAG